GCCGAUAUAGUUUCAAUUGGUAAAACGGAUCCCUUGUAAGAAUUUGUUAUUGGUUCGAAUCCAGUUAUUGGCA
RNAcentral lists this transfer RNA (73 nucleotides) under Peniophora lycii. RNAcentral describes it as "tRNA-Thr". It matches the Rfam family "tRNA". From Rfam's summary of the family: Transfer RNA (tRNA) molecules are approximately 80 nucleotides in length. Their secondary structure includes four short double-helical elements and three loops (D, anti-codon, and T loops). Lineage: Eukaryota; Fungi; Basidiomycota; Agaricomycetes; Russulales; Peniophoraceae. The record is from RNAcentral. RNAcentral also lists the same sequence under 1 other name.